RNAcentral lists this long non-coding RNA (1078 nucleotides) under Gallus gallus (chicken). RNAcentral describes it as "lncRNA (ENSGALG00010013780.1)". The record is from RNAcentral. Lineage: Eukaryota; Metazoa; Chordata; Aves; Galliformes; Phasianidae.
UGUGAAUGUUUUCUUUGCUGGCAGUGGUCUGACCAGGUUUGUUUGUGUUUUUACAAUGGAUAAGCUCUGGGUCACUGCAUGGAUCCACAUGGCACCAUGUCUCCUUGUAGUUACACUGAGACCGCUGUGGAGGAUGGCACUUUGUAACUCAAAGCUGGGAGAAGGGAUCACCUCAGGCCUCACCUGGAGUAUUGUGUCCAGUUCUGGGCUCCCCGGUACAAAAAAGACAAGGAUCUCCUGGAGAGAGUCCAGCAGAGGGCCACAAAGAUGAUAAAGAGCCAGGAACAUCUCCACUGUGAGGAAAGGUUGAGUAAACCUCUGUUCAGCCUUGAGAAAAGAAGACUGAGAGGGGAUCUGAUUAAUGUUUAUAAAUAUCUUAAGUGUGGGAUUCAAAGGGACAUGGCCAACUUCUUUUCAGCAGUCUGUGGGGACAGGACAAGGGGAAAUGACCAUAAACUGCAGCAUAGGAAGUUCUGCACCAAUAUGCGAAGGAACUUCUUCACAGUAAGGGUGGCGGAGCACUGGAACAGGCUGCCCUCAGGGGCUGUGGAUUCUCCUCCUCUGGAGAUAUUCAAGACCCACCUGGCCACCUACCUGCUGUAGGGAUUCUGCUUUGCAGCUUUUCUUACAGCUUAUUGAAGCUUUUAUGGAACAACAUUCUUAGAAGCAGGAACUUCUUACAGCGUCCUUACAUUACAUUUUGAUUUUUCCUCAAGCCAAGUAAGUCUCCACCAAGAAUUUCAUUGCCAUUAGCCCAACUGCUCAAGUCCUGUUGCACCUACUUACAAUACUUUUGCUGACAUCUGGUCACCAUUCAUAUAAACCCUAUCUUACUGCUCUGUUCAACAUUAUCCUCAAACUCUGUGCAGAUACCAUGAUUGAAUAAUGUGGAAUGCAAACACAAGCCUAGUGCUUUGCUAAGAAUUCAUUGGGGCACCUUUGGGAGACAGCAUUCACUUGACUGUAAAACUCAUGGUCCCAUAAAUAAUUCUUUAUUCCCAGUUUCUAAGAUUUGAUGCUAAGUCUCUAUUAGAUAUGCUGUGCUCUGAAAGUUUGGUAUGUUGAACCUCACUGUCUU